GAUGAACGCUGGCUACAGGCUUAACACAUGCAAGUCGAGGGGAAACGACGGGGAAGCUUGCUUCCCCGGGCGUCGACCGGCGCACGGGUGAGUAACGCGUAUCCAACCUGCCUCUGACUGAGGGAUAACCCGUCGAAAGUCGGCCUAAUACCUCAUGGCAUCGUCUGCGGGCAUCCAACGACGAUUAAAGAUUUCAUCGGUCAGAGAUGGGGAUGCGUCUGAUUAGCUUGUUGGCGGGGUAACGGCCCACCAAGGCGACGAUCAGUAGGGGUUCUGAGAGGAAGGUCCCCCACAGUGGAACUGAGACACGGUCCAAACUCCUACGGGAGGCAGCAGUGAGGAAUAUUGGGCAAUGGGCGAGAGCCUGAACCAGCCAAGUAGCGUGCAGGAUGACGGCCCUAUGGGUUGUAAACUGCUUUUAUGCGGGGAUAAAGUGAGGGACGUGUCCUUCAUUGCAGGUACCGCAUGAAUAAGGACCGGCUAAUUCCGUG
This 491-nucleotide ribosomal RNA is filed under the name uncultured bacterium. Its description in RNAcentral is "partial 16S ribosomal RNA". It matches the Rfam family "Bacterial small subunit ribosomal RNA", at positions 28 to 507 of the family's 1533-position model. The record is from RNAcentral.